UUUCAGCAUUUAACUCAGAUGCUGAACGUGAAGGAUAACGUUGCGUCAGCAACGGCCCGAAGGGCGAGGCAAAGCCGAGUCAUCCUGCACGACCUACCA
Molecule: small RNA, 99 nt
Filed under: Klebsiella pneumoniae
Lineage: Bacteria; Pseudomonadati; Pseudomonadota; Gammaproteobacteria; Enterobacterales; Enterobacteriaceae
Also listed under: 2 other names
Description: partial RtT sRNA
Rfam family: RtT RNA
About the family: This family represents a bacterial cis-regulatory element known as RtT RNA. The exact function of RtT is unknown although it is thought that it may be involved in changing the cellular response in relation to amino acid starvation.
Source: RNAcentral